Molecule: long non-coding RNA, 445 nt
Filed under: Macaca nemestrina (pig-tailed macaque)
Lineage: Eukaryota; Metazoa; Chordata; Mammalia; Primates; Cercopithecidae
Description: lncRNA (ENSMNEG00000045650.1)
Source: RNAcentral
AAUAAAUUUCUCUGUGUUUGGGAAAGUGGCAUGACUCAGGAAGGUUUCACAGAGGAUUAUCACCUCUGUGAAGGUCCCUUGGAUGGGACCAUACAAGGCUGACUACAAGGGAAACGUGAAUAUAUUUCUCUGUGAGUAGAGAAGUAAACCAAAUUAUUUGGCUGGAUUAUGAAGAACAAUAUGUUUUCUCAACAGGCAAGGUAAGAAGAGCUGUCCAAGAAAGGAGACAAGGGACUUGCCCAAAGCACGAACACUUCAUAAACAAUUUAACAAAUGUAAACUGUGAAAGAGAAAGACAAAUUGUGUGAAUAUGAAAACUAGGGUCUCUGAUGAGCCCAUAGCCUCCAAACUCCUCCCUUCACUGCAGAAUGACAAUACUUCCUUGGAAGGAAAUGAUUCUCAUUUCUGUCAUAAUGUGCUGCUUGUUCUGAGGCCUGGAGGAGCU